UACAGAGGGGGCAAGCGUUAUUCGGAAUUAUUGGGCGUAAAGGGCGCGUAGGCGGCUUGGCAAGUGGAUGGUGAAAUCCCUCGGCUUAACCGAGGAACUGCCAUCCAGACUGCUUUGCUUGAGGCCGGGAGAGGUGAGUGGAAUUCCCAGUGUAGCGGUGAAAUGCGUAGAUAUUGGGGGGAACACCAGUGGCGAAGGCGGCUCACUGGACCGGUUCUGACGCUGAGGCGCGAAAGCGUGGGGAGCAAACGGG
RNAcentral lists this ribosomal RNA (253 nucleotides) under uncultured bacterium. RNAcentral's name for it is "partial 16S ribosomal RNA". It matches the Rfam family "Bacterial small subunit ribosomal RNA", at positions 524 to 776 of the family's 1533-position model. The record is from RNAcentral.